AGAUUAUUACGCAGCGUAUUGCGUUCAGAAGCAGUAUUCUGCCAGUCUUUGAAGGGUUUUCCGGAGACCUCAUCUGAACUAGGCGAAAGCCGAAAGAAAACGGAACAA
RNAcentral lists this small RNA (108 nucleotides) under Treponema berlinense. RNAcentral describes it as "drum RNA". It matches the Rfam family "drum RNA". From Rfam's summary of the family: Firmicutes, Bacteroidetes (1 example), Proteobacteria (2 examples), Spirochaetes (2 examples). Terminator (Clostridia) Lineage: Bacteria; Pseudomonadati; Spirochaetota; Spirochaetia; Treponematales; Treponemataceae. The record is from Rfam by way of RNAcentral.